ACCUGACAGAACUGUCGGCUGUCAUUUUGUUUAUUUUGUAAAGUGUUCGAUUUUUUUCAUUAAACUUCAAGAUGAGCACUCAACACGCUGCGCCUUGGUCCCCUUUAUAUGACGACCGUUACAAAGUGAGACUUUGAUGAGGCUCUUCCUAUUUCCUCUGAGUCAGAAUCUAUGAAUAGUGUCAAAAUUACACUUCUUCUUUUGCUUGUCACAAACUGGGUGAGGUCUUCUGAGUUUCAGGAACAGCUGUCUCUCAUACUUUCCUUACACUGGUUUUGUUUAUGCCAUAAAACAUUGCCAGAUUUUGGAAAUUCAGCUCUGAAAAGAAAAUAGAGGACUUUGACGAAGUACCGAAGUUAAUUUGAUAAACUGAGACCCUGCGUUGUAAAGAGACAUGGAGGCUGUUUUAGGACUGUUGGUGAUCUCAGCAGGAGUGUCUCAUGGCUUGGAGACUUCCUGUGAUGCUAGACAGAAUGUAUCUCAGUGUUAUGGAGCUCUGGGAGGAACUGUCUAUCUCCAGCUGGUGACUGAUGACAUGGGAUAUGAUGAACUCUCAUUUUAUAAAGACCCAACUGGUGCUAAAACAGAGAUACUCAGAUCGAAGAAGGGCAUAUGGGUAAUAAGAGACAACCGCAUUAAAGACAGAGUAGACUUCUUUAUAAACAAUGGGACAUUUAGGUUAAAUAACACAAGAAGUACAGAUUCUGGUGAAUAUCUGCUAGAAUACUUUAAUUCAGUAGGGAUAUCAUCAUGGACCAGAGGACUACAACUGUUCAUCGAAGCUCCAGUGUCCAGUCCUCAGCUGUCCUCUGAGUGUCUGUCCCAUGGAGAGAUGAAGGUGUCCUGUUCCUCUGAGGGGGAUGGUCCCCAGUACAGCUGGACUCUGGAUGGACAGACACUGAGAGACACUGAGACCUCUCCUGGUGAUGAGACAAACACCAUCACUCUGAAGAAAGGCCUGUCAGGAAAUCUCACCUGUACCAUCAGAAACAACAUCAGCAGUGAUACUGUCAGCAGGAUAAUCUCACACUGUCCAGGUAUGGAGGAGAAAUCCUGUGAUGCUAGAGAGCACAUGUCAUGUCACGGAGCUCUGGGAGAAACUGUCUAUCUUCAGCUGAUGAAUAAUGCCACAGGGUCUGAACUCGUAUUCAAAAAGGACCCCACUGGUGCAAAUAUAAGGAUAUUCAGCAUGAAAAACAACAGAGUGAGAUUCCAUGACCCCAUUAAACCUAGAUCAGAGUUCUUUAUCAACAACGGGACAUUUAGGAUAUCUAACACAGAAAAGACUGAUUCUGGUGAAUAUGUCUUAGAAAUCUAUGAUUCACAUGGAGCACGUUUGAGCACCGGAGGAGUACAACUUAUAAUUGGAGGAUCUGGGUUCAAUGUGUUUGUUUAUUUCCAACUUGCUGAAGUCUUCAUUCUGAUGGCAAUCUGUCUGGGAUCAUACUGUUUCUACAAGAAGAAAACCUGUCCUCAAGAACAAGAUGAUGGUCAGUAAGCAGAGGAAUAUGAAGACUCUCAGGUGGAUCAUGGUGGGACUCAGAGGAGGGUGUUGAUGUCCUAAGAGUUGCUAUGGGGAUCAACCAGGCUUUGAGAUUACUUUAUGAAAUAAUGACUAACGAUGAUAUAAUACUGCUUAUCACUCUUUUAAUCUUGAAACUCAAAGCACAGUAAUCUAUUUAAACCAAAAAAAUGCCAUUCUAUUCUUUUGACUUUUAUUUUCUUAUUUUAAUUAUGUUCCUUCAGACCUGCCCUUAACAACAUGAAUAGUGAAUGAUCUAUGUGAUGAUGUUUAUUUGAUGAAUUUUAAAUCUUGAAUUGUAGUGAUUUAGUGCUUUUUAUUUUGUUCAUACUGUUAAAUAAACUAAUGAAAAAGUUGUUUUUGAAAAUACAUUUUCUUUCAUAUUCUAAUGCUACCUUCUUAAACACAAACAAAUGAUUAUUUUACCAAUAUCAUACAUGACAUGUAUUUAUUAGACUGUUAGAAUGUUGACAUCUGAAAGACUCAUCAUUGGCUUGAAGGGGGUCCCUCUAGGCUUUUCUAGUGUUAAGUAUAUUUAAAAUGUUAAAGGCGUGCAUAUUACAGUGUAUUGAUUGCAUGGCAGGGUUUCGUUUUUUAUUGCUUGUGAUAUACAGUAACAGAAAUGUAUGAGAGUUGAAAGUCUUUUUAAAUAGGGAACUCUAACAGACUUUCAUUCCUUCUGUAACUUUAUCAAAUCAAAAACUUUAUUUGUCACAUGCGCCAAUGUCACAGGUUCCAACGAGUGGCGCCCCUCGGUCGGGCAGCGGUCGUCGUCGCCGGCCUAUUAGCUGCCACCGAUCGUUGUUUCUGUGUCGUUUAGUUUUGUCUGUCUGUUCCGCACCUGUUUUGUGUAUGUCAUUAGUGGGGACUUAUUUAAUGUGUUUUCAGUUGGGAUUUUGUGCGGGAUUGUUUAUUGUCCACGUUGUGUUAGCGUCAAUUAUACGGGAAGGAUUUACCGGGCUGCGCUCCUUGCCUUUGAAUUAUAUUUUGUGUUUUAUGGGAAGGUGUUUCUCCCAGGCGCACUUUGUAUAGCGCCCUGUGCUUUUCGGCGUUUGUGUGUGUCCGUUUUUAUUAAAAGACACUCACCUCCAGCACCUCUGUCUCCUGCAUUUGAUUCCGCCUAUCCGCCAGUCCAAAUCAGACGUGACAGCCAAAUACAACAAGUGUAGACCUAACCGUGAAAUGCUUACUUUACAAGCCCUUAACCAACAGCGCAGUUCAAGAAGAGUUAAGAAAAUAUUUACCAAAUAAACUCAAGUAAAAAAUUAUAAAAAGUAACACAAUAAAAUAACAAUAACAAAGCUAUAUACAAGAGGUACCGGUACCGAGUCAGUGUGCGGGGGUACAGGUUCGUUGAGGUAAUUUGUACAUGUAGGUAGGGGUGAAGUGACUAUGCAUGAUAAUAAACAGUGAGUAGCAGCAGUGUACAAAACAAAUGGAGGGGGAGGGGGGGGGGGGUCAAUGUAAAUAGUCUGGUGAACAUUUGAUUAAUUGCUCAGCAGUCUUAUGGCUUGGGGGUAGAAGCUGUUAAGGAACCUUUUUGUCCUAGACUUGGCAUUCCGGUACUGCUUGCCGUGCAGUAGUAGAGAAAACAGUCUAUGACUUGAGUGACUGGAGUCUCUGA
This 3146-nucleotide long non-coding RNA is filed under the name Salmo trutta (river trout). RNAcentral describes it as "lncRNA (ENSSTUG00000003075.1)". The record is from RNAcentral. Lineage: Eukaryota; Metazoa; Chordata; Actinopteri; Salmoniformes; Salmonidae.